Long non-coding RNA from Aegilops tauschii subsp. strangulata, 1053 nucleotides. RefSeq lists it as uncharacterized. The record is from RefSeq and is a predicted model, not a curated record. Lineage: Eukaryota; Viridiplantae; Streptophyta; Magnoliopsida; Poales; Poaceae.
GUUGAUGCUAAGAACUUAAGAUGUACUUUGCAUAUAUAAGUUCCUGACACAAUUUGUAGCUGCUAUUUAUAGAUGCAUAUGUUCACAUAUUUUUGCUGGACUGGUGUUUGACUUUGCAAAUACUUUGCCGAACUAGUAGCUGAUCAUACUGUUUUUUUUUUGAAUGAACAUAAUAGUGCAGGUGCAUGCAGUUGAUCACCUAGAUUGCACAUAAGAUCAAGAACUCAAUCUUGUACUUGUAAUGCAAGGCAACGGUAAGUCUAGAAUAGCAGUUAGAACUUGGAAUAUAGACCUGACUAACCAGUACAUGGGUGAGAGUCACAGACUCACAGGUGACCCGACUAACCAGUACGUGGGUGAGAGUCACAGACUCACAGGUGACCCAUGGAACGGCAGGUGCAUGCACACCUAGUCCUCACCCUGCACCUAUAAAUUCUUCUUGACCUCCAACUGCUGCAUCAAGUCUUUGGCAUAAUUUCUGGGAAACAAAUUGUGUCCUGGUUGUAUUUAACAGUGGUUUCUGUGUCGGUGGAAUGCAUCCUCAUGGGCCUGGAGGACCAGGUUGGGAAGGCCAUGGCCCUGGUUCUUGGGGGCCUUGGUUUGGUGGCUUCUUUAGAUCCUGCUUCUACCUCCUUUGCUGUUGCUGCCUGCUCCAAGAUUGCUGUGGCCCGUUCUUCGGACCCCCGGGUCCAGGCGGCUCACCACCCCCACCCUUCUGAUAGCAGUCCAACAUAUCCACCACGACGAAUAAUGCAUCGAGUUACAGUUAUUUGGCCUAAAUGUUCGCUGAAGAGCUCACUUUAGUGAAUACUCUGGCUGUUGGGAGUGUGCCUUGCUACAGUAUGCUCACUAGUGAAAGCAGCUGUCCUGUUACUCCUGUAUCUGUUGGAGAUCACUGUAUGAUCUUACCUAGUUACCUGGUACUGAUGUUAUUUUAGUGACAAUAUGCAAUUAUCGGACACAAUAUGCCACUGCUGUUACCUGGUUUUUGUAGAUUCAGUUGUGUCAGAAAUUUAUUUAUGCAGAGCUGCGAAGCACAUCUUCAGUUCUCAA